Molecule: long non-coding RNA, 578 nt
Organism: Cyprinus carpio carpio
Lineage: Eukaryota; Metazoa; Chordata; Actinopteri; Cypriniformes; Cyprinidae
Source: Ensembl
CAGAUCACAAGGCAAAGGAAAUUACAAUCAAAAUCCAAGAAACCGAAGAAUGGAUCCCAGCCAGUUUUCCAAUCAGCCUCCAGAAGCCUACAAUUCAUCUGAGAAAUCAGGGAUGCCUACAGCAGCACCACCAGCAUACCAGCACAAUCCUGCUGGAUAUCCUCCUUCCUUUCCAAACCAGCCGGUCCCCCAGGGCCCCUACACCCAGGGACCAUAUCCAGGACAGCCUGUGGUCACUGUGCAGCCUGCAGUUUUUGUGACUGCUGCUCCACUGGCUGAUCCAGUGCCAGAUUACCUGGGUUACUCCAUCUUCACCAUGCUGUGCUGCUGCUUACCUCUGGGCAUCGCUGCGCUGAUUUACUCCAUCUCUACUCGAGAUGCCUACUACUCAGGACAGCGAGAAUUAGCAGAGAAGAACUCCAAAAUGGCACUGGUGCGUCUGGCAGUUAAUCUGAGAGGAUUGUACAACCCACGUAUAUAUAGUAUGUGUGUAAUAGGUCUUCACGAUUGAAUAUCUUUAAAGAAACUCCCAAACAAUUUAACAAUCUGAGGAUAAAUUAAUAAACAAAUAAAUGACU